Molecule: transfer RNA, 72 nt
Filed under: Candidatus Wildermuthbacteria bacterium
Lineage: Bacteria; Candidatus Wildermuthiibacteriota
Description: tRNA-Arg
Rfam family: tRNA
About the family: Transfer RNA (tRNA) molecules are approximately 80 nucleotides in length. Their secondary structure includes four short double-helical elements and three loops (D, anti-codon, and T loops). Further hydrogen bonds mediate the characteristic L-shaped molecular structure. tRNAs have two regions of fundamental functional importance: the anti-codon, which is responsible for specific mRNA codon recognition, and the 3' end, to which the tRNAs corresponding amino acid is attached (by aminoacyl-tRNA synthetases). tRNAs cope with the degeneracy of the genetic code in two manners: having more than one tRNA (with a specific anti-codon) for a particular amino acid; and 'wobble' base-pairing, i.e. permitting non-standard base-pairing at the 3rd anti-codon position.
Source: RNAcentral
GUCCUCAUAGCUCAACGGACAGAGCACGGGCCUUCUAAGCCUGGGAUGUAGGUUCGAUUCCUACUGGGGACA